CUAGCUUGCUAGGUGGAUUAGUGGCGCACGGGUGAGUAACGCAUAGAUGACAUGCCCUUUAGUUUGGGAUAGCCACUAGAAAUGGUGAUUAAUACCAAAUACCACCCUACGGGGGAAAGAUUUAUCGCUAAAGGAUUGGUCUAUGUCCUAUCAGCUUGUUGGCGGGGUAAGAGCCCACCAAGGCAAUGACGGGUAUCCGGCCUGAGAGGGUGAACGGACACACUGGAACUGAGACACGGUCCAGACUCCUACGGGAGGCAGCAGUAGGGAAUAUUGCUCAAUGGGCGCAAGCCUGAAGCAGCAACGCCGCGUGGAGGAUGAAGGUUUUAGGAUUGUAAACUCCUUUUGUGAGAGAAGAUAAUGACGGUAUCUCACGAAUAAGCACU
RNAcentral lists this ribosomal RNA (386 nucleotides) under uncultured Helicobacter sp. RNAcentral's name for it is "bacterial SSU rRNA". It matches the Rfam family "Bacterial small subunit ribosomal RNA", at positions 75 to 494 of the family's 1533-position model. Lineage: Bacteria; Pseudomonadati; Campylobacterota; Epsilonproteobacteria; Campylobacterales; Helicobacteraceae. The record is from RNAcentral.